Helianthus annuus (common sunflower) is the source of this 1059-nucleotide long non-coding RNA. RefSeq lists it as uncharacterized. The transcript is spliced from 5 exons. The record is from RefSeq and is a predicted model, not a curated record. NCBI's taxonomy places the organism in Eukaryota, Viridiplantae, Streptophyta, Magnoliopsida, Asterales, Asteraceae.
CUAUUUUAAAAGUCGACAAGGAAGAACACGGUCAGCCAAAAAUCCGCCGGAGAUGUGGAGAGAGAGCGCGCAGAGAGAACUACAAGGGCUGAUGAUGAUGGUUCCGCCCGGUGUUACAACCUGCUCGUCGUCGUCAACAACACUCGACAACGACGUUUUGAUCUGGCCGUAGUCUUUGGUGGUGCGGAGUAGGGUUUAUGACGGCAAGAUUGUUGCAAUCUUUGGUGGCGGCGACCAUGGUUUGUGACGGAGAUCGACGACGUCUGUUAGAUUGGAUGCUGCCAUAGCUCUGCCAAUGACAGUGGUCAAGCGGUUAGGGUUUCGAUCAACUUUUGGUAACGUCCGUAGAGGCUCCAGCGAAGAUUCCAGUGAGGUGAACAGGCCAGGGAAGAUUCCGGUUAACGGUUUAUAGAUAGAAAGUGACUAAGUCGACAAGUCCAAAUUGUAGACUGUUUGCAAUAUGAGUAAAAGAAUCCUAUUAAAUCAAAGUGCAUAAACAUGAGCUAUGAUGUAUAUGGCUAAAAAGAGAAGAGACGGUCUACAAGGUUACAAUGGUGUAAGGACCAAAAACGACGGAGCCCACGAUGCUUUGUACCGAAGCGAAAACCCCGACAAACAAGAAACAACACCACCAGACAACGUUCUCGAGGACGACAUGCUGGCGCUUUUACUCAAACAAUCCUCAGGAUUCAAGGACGUCAGAAUGAUCCAUGCAAAACUGGGUAUCGCUUUUAUCGAGUUUGAUGAGAAAAAAAAUAACUUUCGAGUUUGAUGAGAAAAAAUAACUUUCUAUUGCAAUGCAAUCCCAGCAAGGCUCAAGAUCACCCCUCAAAAAUGUUAUUUACAAAAAAAAUUGAUGAAAAUAGUACUAUGUGUAGUGAUAAAGAUCCAUAAUGAUGUUUUUUGUGAAUGUGUGGUUAAUUUAAAAAGAGAAGAUAUAGUAUUUUGGUUGUUCUGGGCAUUAUAAACCUAAGAUAGGUAAUGCCUCAUUACACGAUCUUAUGUUGACUUGCAAUUUGUAGGUUUUUUUGGGUCAUUUCAAAACUAGAUGUUAUUUGA